ACUGAUUUGGCAGAGUAGUGCAUUAAAUUUAGGAUUUAAACAUGUUGUAAUAUACAUUCAGUU
This 63-nucleotide transfer RNA is filed under the name Falcolipeurus quadripustulatus. Its description in RNAcentral is "tRNA-Leu". The record is from RNAcentral. Lineage: Eukaryota; Metazoa; Arthropoda; Insecta; Psocodea; Philopteridae.